GACGAACGCGGCGGCGUGCCUAAUACAUGCAAGUGGGACGCAAGGGAACACACUGUGCUUGCACACCGUGUUUUCUUGAGUCGCGAACGGGUGAGUAACGCGUAGGUAACCUGCCUAUUAGCGGGGGAUAACUAUUGGAAACGAUAGCUAAUACCGCAUAAUAUUAAUUAUUGCAUGAUAAUUGAUUGAAAGAUGCAAGCGCAUCACUAGUAGAUGGACCUGCGUUGUAUUAGCUAGUUGGUAAGGUAAGAGCUUACCAAGGCGACGAUACAUAGCCGACCUGAGAGGGUGAUCGGCCACACUGGGACUGAGACACGGUCCAAACUCCUACGGGAGGCAGCAGUAGGGAAUCUUCGGCAAUGGACGAAAGUCUGACCGAGCAACGCCGCGUGAGUGAAGAAGGUUUUCGGAUCGUAAAGCUCUGUUGUAAGUCAAGAACGUGUGUGAGAGUGGAAAGUUCACACAGUGACGGAGCUACCAGAAAGGCGC
This 489-nucleotide ribosomal RNA is filed under the name Streptococcus mutans. RNAcentral describes it as "bacterial SSU rRNA". It matches the Rfam family "Bacterial small subunit ribosomal RNA", at positions 28 to 494 of the family's 1533-position model. The record is from RNAcentral. Lineage: Bacteria; Bacillati; Bacillota; Bacilli; Lactobacillales; Streptococcaceae.